RNAcentral lists this ribosomal RNA (253 nucleotides) under uncultured bacterium. RNAcentral describes it as "partial 16S ribosomal RNA". It matches the Rfam family "Bacterial small subunit ribosomal RNA", at positions 524 to 776 of the family's 1533-position model. The record is from RNAcentral.
UACAGGGGGUGCAAACGUUGCUCGGAAUCAUUGGGCGUAAAGCGCACGUAGGCGGUCUGUUAUGUCGGAUGUGAAAGCCCUUGGCUUAACUGAGGAAGUGCAUCCGAAACUGGCAGGCUAGAGUACUAAAGAGGGUCGCGGAAUUCCCGGUGUAGAGGUGAAAUUCGUAGAUAUCGAGAAGAACACCAGUGGCGAAGGCGGCUCACUGGCCCGGAACUGACGCUGAGACGCGAAAGCGUGGGGAGCAAACAGG